Molecule: ribosomal RNA, 314 nt
Filed under: uncultured archaeon
Lineage: Archaea
Description: bacterial SSU rRNA
Rfam family: Archaeal small subunit ribosomal RNA
Source: RNAcentral
ACUGCUCAGUAACACGUAGUCAACAUGCCCAGGGGACGUGGAUAACCUCGGGAAACUGAGGAUAAACCGCGAUAGGCCAUAAUUCCUGGAAUGGUUUAUGACUGAAACCUAUAUGGCCCCUGGAGUGUACAGUGCCGCCGAUCAGGCUGUUGGUGAGGUAAUGGCCCACCAAACCUGUAACCGGUACGGGCUCUGAGAGGAGAAGCCCGGAGAUGGGCACUGAGACAAGGGCCCAGGCCCUAUGGGGCGCAGCAGGCGCGAAACCUCUGCAAUAGGCGAAAGCCUGACAGGGUUACUCUGAGUGGUUCCCGCUA